Molecule: ribosomal RNA, 497 nt
Filed under: uncultured bacterium
Lineage: Bacteria
Description: partial 16S ribosomal RNA
Rfam family: Bacterial small subunit ribosomal RNA
Source: RNAcentral
GACGAACGCUGGCGGCGUGCCUAAUACAUGCAAGUUGAGCGAUGAAGAUUGGUGCUUGCACCAAUUUGAAGAGCAGCGAACGGGUGAGUAACGCGUGGGGAAUCUGCCUUUGAGCGGGGGACAACAUUUGGAAACGAAUGCUAAUACCGCAUAACAACUUUAAACAUAAGUUUUAAGUUUGAAAGAUGCAAUUGCAUCACUCAAAGAUGAUCCCGCGUUGUAUUAGCUAGUUGGUGAGGUAAAGGCUCACCAAGGCGAUGAUACAUAGCCGACCUGAGAGGGUGAUCGGCCACAUUGGGACUGAGACACGGCCCAAACGCCUACGGGAGGCAGCAGUAGGGAAUCUUCGGCAAUGGACGAAAGUCUGACCGAGCAACGCCGCGUGAGUGAAGAAGGUUUUCGGAACGUAAAACUCUGUUGGUAGAGAAGAACGUUGGUGAGAGUGGAAAGCUCAUCAAGUGACGGUAACUACCCAGAAAGGGACGGCUAACUACGUG